UCAGUGCAUGACAGAACUUGA
This 21-nucleotide non-coding RNA is filed under the name Petromyzon marinus (sea lamprey). Its record names the gene pma-miR-152a. The record is from miRBase by way of RNAcentral. RNAcentral also lists the same sequence under 1 other name. Lineage: Eukaryota; Metazoa; Chordata; Hyperoartia; Petromyzontiformes; Petromyzontidae.